Molecule: Y RNA, 102 nt
Filed under: Microcebus murinus (gray mouse lemur)
Lineage: Eukaryota; Metazoa; Chordata; Mammalia; Primates; Cheirogaleidae
Description: Y RNA (ENSMICG00000043187.1)
Rfam family: Y RNA
About the family: Y RNAs are components of the Ro ribonucleoprotein particle (Ro RNP), in association with Ro60 and La proteins. The Y RNAs and Ro60 and La proteins are well conserved, but the function of the Ro RNP is not known.
Source: Rfam by way of RNAcentral
CAUUGGUCUGAGUGCAGCGGUGUUUACAACUAAUUGAUCACAACCAGUUACAGAUUCCUUUGUUCCUUCUCCACUCCCACUGCUUCACUUGACCAGCCUUUA